CUACGGGAGGCAGCAGUCGAGAAUCUUCGGCAAUGGGCGAAAGCCUGACCGAGCGACGCCGCGUGUGGGAUGAAGGCCUUCGGGUUGUAAACCGCUGUCAGAGGGGAGGAAUGGGCGGAGGGUAAUCUCUUCGUUUUGACCUAUCCUCAGAGGAAGUACGGGCUAAGUUCGUGCCAGCAGCCGCGGUAAGACGAACCGUACGAACGUUAUUCGGAAUCACUGGGCUUAAAGGGUGCGUAGGCGGCGCUGAAAGUUGGGUGUGAAAUCCCUCGGCUUAACCGAGGAACUGCGCCCAAAACUACAGUGCUUGAGGGAGAUAGAGGUGAGCGGAAUUUAGGGUGGAGCGGUGAAAUGCGUUGAUAUCCUAAGGAACGCCAGGGGCGAAAGCGGCUCACUGGGUCUCUUCUGACGCUGAGGCACGAAAGCUAGGGUAGCGAACGGGAUUAGAAACCCCGGUAGUCC
Molecule: ribosomal RNA, 462 nt
Filed under: uncultured bacterium
Lineage: Bacteria
Description: bacterial SSU rRNA
Rfam family: Bacterial small subunit ribosomal RNA
Source: RNAcentral